UGUCCAGUAGCACCUUAUAGACCAACUAAGUUUGUUCUGGUAUAAGCUUUCGUGUGCAUGCACCAGAACAAACUUAGUUGGUCUAUAAUGUGCUACUGGACA
Podarcis lilfordi (Lilford's wall lizard) is the source of this 102-nucleotide non-coding RNA. Lineage: Eukaryota; Metazoa; Chordata; Lepidosauria; Squamata; Lacertidae. The record is from the annotation of a GenBank genome assembly.